AUCUUCCCUUAGCUCCUGACUCGUCUUGCUCAAGAGACCAAAGGGAAGAUGGAAGGCCCUCUCCCCAGGCUAAGGUCCUUCUCUUUCCCACUUCAAGAUGACAGGAGCAUGUGCAGGGUGCUGCGGCCCUCGUCUCAAAGACAAAGCUGGGACCAUCAUGUAUUUCAAUGGAUUUUUGGAAAAAUCAGCUGAAGGAAUAGGAAAACCUUGAAAGAAGAAUAACUUAGAAGAUCAAGUAAAGCUAAGUAAAAAACACAAUGCAAAGUGAGCGGUUUUCAAGAGAUUAAAAAGUCUUUGAGAGAAA
Molecule: long non-coding RNA, 304 nt
Organism: Suricata suricatta (meerkat)
Lineage: Eukaryota; Metazoa; Chordata; Mammalia; Carnivora; Herpestidae
Exons: 4
Source: RefSeq, a predicted model, not a curated record